This 200-nucleotide ribosomal RNA is filed under the name uncultured bacterium. RNAcentral's name for it is "partial 16S ribosomal RNA". It matches the Rfam family "Bacterial small subunit ribosomal RNA", at positions 8 to 217 of the family's 1533-position model. The record is from RNAcentral.
AGAGUUUGAUCAUGGCUCAGGACUAACGCUGGCGGCGUGCCUAACACAUGCAAGUCGAACGGGGUAGCAAUACCCAGUGGCAGACGGGUGAGUAACACGUGGUCAACCUACCUCUGUGUGGGGGAUAACUAGCCGAAAGGUUAGCUAAUACCGCAUGCGAUCGUUUUGGGGCAUCCCGAGACGAUGAAAGGAGUAAUCCG